RNAcentral lists this unclassified non-coding RNA (1221 nucleotides) under Leishmania donovani. RNAcentral describes it as "gene:LdHU3.27.0830(CDS-product:hypothetical_prote in_conserved)". The record is from RNAcentral. Lineage: Eukaryota; Euglenozoa; Kinetoplastea; Trypanosomatida; Trypanosomatidae.
CCACCUACAGAAGUGCUCGUUUUGUGCGGGCAAACUCCUCCUCAUUGCAUCCCAUUCCUGAAAAUACACCACAUUUAUCUCGAACGACAAAAUGAAGGUCGAGCUGACGAUGCAGUACCUGGAUGAGUGGAUGCUGCGCUGGCGCAAGUUCCAGACGGAGAGCGACUGGCAGAUUGAGAAGAACCGCCAGUGGUGGCGGCAGGCAAACAUUGUGACCGCUGGUGCGGUGAUGGGGGGUCUUGUCAUGUACACCGCCGGCGCGGCGACCAUCCGCCGCCAGUUCGGCGCCCCGCACUUUUUCGACGUCGGUGUGGACGCUAAGAUCAAGGAAGCGAUCUGCGAUACCAUGACGAGCCGCUGGCGCUACACCCCGCAGGGAUACGGACGUCUGAUGCUGGUGGGGCUGCCCACCUUCUUUGUCUUCGCGAUUUCCGAGCACAUCCAGGAACGCCGCCGCCUCCGCGCCUACGUGAGGCAGAAUACCGUGUUUGGUGAGCAGGCGCGCCGCCUCGUGCAGAAUGGCAAAAUCGAGGAAUACCUCGCGGUAGACAUCAAGGCCUCGCUCCCGCAGAACCAAUCGCAGCUUUACGCGUAAGCUUGAGCGGAGGCGCUGGCGGACUCGGCGACAGGCUUGGGCAAGAGGAAGCGACAUAGUGGGGAGCGAAGUGAGGGGCAGAACAGCAUCGCACAUGUGACUCCAGGGUUUCGAAUCAUCAUGGGCGCCUGUGCAUCACUGUGCGCUGGGGGCCGCCAUUGCUGUUGAAAAGCCUCUCCCCUCCACGGCUCGUACGUGCUUGUGUAUGCCCCCCCUCGCAUAUUCGUCCCCCCUCCCCUACCGACACACCCACAUGCUCGCAUGCGCGCGCGCUCAUAUUUCGAGCACCGAAAGUGCGCGCUUUUCUCUCCUUUCCAGAGUCUGCACUGUUGCCGAGUUUGUGUGUGCGUUGUUGUUGGAAGCUUUCGCUCUCCUCCCGUUGUUCUCUUUUCCUCCGUCUUAUAGCGUAGUAGUAGUUUGGUAGGUAAGCUGGAUGAUGGCGCGCGUGCCCCCCCCCUCCUCCUUCCCGCUUCCGCCCACCGCGCCGGAGCAGUCGUGCAAAGGAACAGGAAUAUACAUAUAUAUUUGCACGAGCUGUUCACUAACGUCUGUUUUCAUUCUGCCAGGCAUCAUCCCCCACCCCCUUUAAGCGGCGAAGGGGAAAAAACAAGAAUAACUAUGAAAGC